Vulpes vulpes (red fox) is the source of this 300-nucleotide unclassified non-coding RNA. Its record names the gene 7SK. It matches the Rfam family "7SK RNA". Rfam says of the family: 7SK was discovered as an abundant small nuclear RNA in the mid-70s but a possible function has only recently been suggested. Two independent studies have found that 7SK RNA binds the CDK9/cyclin T complex (known as elongation factor P-TEFb). NCBI's taxonomy places the organism in Eukaryota, Metazoa, Chordata, Mammalia, Carnivora, Canidae. The record is from Ensembl.
GGAUGUGAGGGCGAUCUGGCUGCGACAUCUGUCACCCCAUUGAUUGCCAGGGUUGAUUCGGCUGAUGAGGCUGGCUAGGCAGGUGUCCCCUUCCUCCCUCACUGCUCCAUGUGCAUCCCUCCCAAAGCUGGGCACUCAGUGGAAUAGGACGACCAUCCCCGGGAGAGGAGGACCAUUCUUUGGUCAAGGAUACAUGACACUACCCUGCUGGAACCUCCCAACAAGCUCUCAAGGUCAAUUUGAUCACCCUGUGAGGGCAAUGAGGUUAUGACAAAUUGGAACUCAGUGUUGUUUCCUCUU